CUCAGGUUAUAUUGGAUCCUAAUAAGGUCUGUGUCGUGUUUAUUGUAUCACCAUGCAUAGUCACAAUAUGACUUUAGAUUUUUUUAAUUGAAGUUCUCAAUAGGUUUGUUCCAUGACUCAUUUUUACAUUCUUAUGCAAUGCAACAAAGAGUCACUUUAACCACUGUGGUUCUCCUGGGCUGGGAAAAUUCACAGAGGACAAGAACUUGGAGAUUUACAAGAAAAUUUUGGAGUCCAGAGGAUGCUCAACUACAAAUGAUGGGGUUUUGUAGUAUGCCUGUAGGAUUAUGCCAUGUGAUGCAGACAACGAAAGGAGAAUGUUCCACCACAAAACAGACUGCUAAUGUGAGUGAAAAGCAUCAGGAUUUGGAAGCAGCAAGCAUCAGGAUGGGAAGACCUCAGGAAUUCAUACAUAAAAAUCAGAGAAGAACCAUCUUUGAAAAUAUCCAUCAUGAUUUUCAUAAGAAGUGCCACAAAAAGGUAUCUAUUUUCCUGCAAAAGUUGUUGAUUUUCCCUGUGUAUCUGCAUCUCAGCCACUGC
Molecule: long non-coding RNA, 540 nt
Filed under: Chrysolophus pictus (golden pheasant)
Lineage: Eukaryota; Metazoa; Chordata; Aves; Galliformes; Phasianidae
Description: lncRNA (ENSCPIG00010003472.1)
Source: RNAcentral